RNAcentral lists this ribosomal RNA (795 nucleotides) under uncultured archaeon. Its description in RNAcentral is "bacterial SSU rRNA". It matches the Rfam family "Archaeal small subunit ribosomal RNA", at positions 84 to 884 of the family's 1478-position model. The record is from RNAcentral.
UACUGCUCAGUAACACGUGGACAACCUACCCUAUGGAGGGGGAUAACCCCGGGAAACUGGGGAUAAUACCCCAUAGACUAUGAAUGCUGGAAUGCUUUGUAGUUGAAAGGUCCGCCGCCAUAGGAUGGGUCUGCGGCCGAUUAGGUUGUUGUUGGGGUAACGGCCCAACAAGCCUGUAAUCGGUACGGGUUGUGGGAGCAAGAGCCCGGAGAUGGAUUCUGAGACACGAAUCCAGGCCCUACGGGGCGCAGCAGGCGCGAAAACUUUACAAUGCGGGAAACCGUGAUAAGGGAACUCCGAGUGCCCGUAAAAUCGGGCUGUCCAUCUGUUUAAAUAACAGGUGAAGAAAGGGCCGGGCAAGACCGGUGCCAGCCGCCGCGGUAAUACCGGCGGCUCGAGUGGUGGCCACUAUUACUGGGCUUAAAGCGUUCGUAGCUGGUCUGUUAAGUCUCUGGGGAAAUCUACUGGCUUAACCAAUAGGCGUCUCAGGGAUACUGGCAGACUAGGGACCGGGAGAGGUGAGAGGUACUCCAGGGGUAGGAGUGAAAUCCUGUAAUCCUUGGGGGACCACCUGUGGCGAAGGCGUCUCACCAGAACGGCUCCGACAGUGAGGGACGAAAGCUGGGGGAGCAAACCGGAUUAGAUACCCGGGUAGUCCCAGCUGUAAACGAUGCGCGUUAGGUGUAUCGGUGACUACGAGUUACCGAGGUGCCGAAGAGAAAUCGUGAAACGUGCCGCCUGGGAAGUACGGUCGCAAGGCUGAAACUUAAAGGAAUUGGCGGGGGAGCACAAUCA